Molecule: ribosomal RNA, 792 nt
Filed under: uncultured Bacteroidota bacterium
Lineage: Bacteria; Pseudomonadati; Bacteroidota
Description: bacterial SSU rRNA
Rfam family: Bacterial small subunit ribosomal RNA
Source: RNAcentral
UCGUGGGGCAGCAUGAACUAGCAAUAGUUUGAUGGCGACCGGCAAACGGGUGCGGAACACGUACACAACCUCCCGAUAAGUGGGGAAUAGCCCAGAGAAAUUUGGAUUAAUACCCCGUAACAUUGCGAUGUGGCAUCACAUUGCAAUUAUAGCUUCGGCGCUUAUUGAUGGGUGUGCGUAUGAUUAGAUAGUUGGCGAGGUAACGGCUCACCAAGUCCACGAUCAUUAGCUGAUGUGAGAGCAUGAUCAGCCACACGGGCACUGAGACACGGGCCCGACUCCUACGGGAGGCAGCAGUAAGGAAUAUUGGUCAAUGGACGAAAGUCUGAACCAGCUAUGCCGCGUGAAGGAUUAAGGUCCUCUGGAUUGUAAACUUCUUUUAUAUGGGACGAAAAAAGGUCUUUCUAGAUCACUUGACGGUACCAUAUGAAUAAGCACCGGCUAACUCCGUGCCAGCAGCCGCGGUAAUACGGAGGGUGCAAGCGUUAUCCGGAUUCAUUGGGUUUAAAGGGUGCGUAGGCGGGCAGGUAAGUCAGUGGUGAAAUCCUGGAGCUCAACUCCAGAACUGCCAUUGAUACUAUCUGUCUUGAAUAUUGUGGAGGUAAGCGGAAUAUGUCAUGUAGCGGUGAAAUGCUUAGAUAUGACAUAGAACACCUAUUGCGAAGGCAGCUUACUACGCAUAUAUUGACGCUGAGGCACGAAAGCGUGGGGAUCAAACAGGAUUAGAUACCCUGGUAGUCCACGCCCUAAACGAUGGAUACUCGACAUAUGCGAUACACUGUAUGUGUCUGA